This 350-nucleotide ribosomal RNA is filed under the name uncultured Acidobacteriota bacterium. RNAcentral's name for it is "bacterial SSU rRNA". It matches the Rfam family "Bacterial small subunit ribosomal RNA", at positions 20 to 356 of the family's 1533-position model. The record is from RNAcentral. Lineage: Bacteria; Pseudomonadati; Acidobacteriota.
UGGCUCAGAAUCAACGCUGGCGGCGUGCCUAACACAUGCAAGUCGAACGCGAAAGGGGCUUCGGCCCUGAGUAGAGUGGCGAACGGGUGAGUAACACGUGGGUGAUCUACCUCUGAGUGGGGGAUAACCUUCCGAAAGGAGGGCUAAUACCGCAUGACGUUCCGGGUUUGAAGACCGGGAAACCAAAGUCGGGGACCGCAAGGCCUGACGCCUUGGAGAGGAGCCCGCGCCUGAUUAGCUAGUUGGUGAGGUAACGGCUCACCAAGGCGACGAUCAGUAGCCGGCCUGAGAGGGCGGACGGCCACACUGGGACUGAGACACGGCCCAGACUCCUACGGGAGGCAGCAGUG